GACGAACGCUGGCGGCGUGCUUAACACAUGCAAGUCGAACGGAAAGGCCCUGCCUUUGUGGGGUGCUCGAGUGGCGAACGGGUGAGUAACACGUGAGUAACCUGCCCUUGACUUUGGGAUAACUUCAGGAAACUGGGGCUAAUACCGGAUAGGAGCGCCUGCUGCAGGGUGGGGGUUGGAAAGUUUCGGCGGUUGGGGCUGGACUCGCGGCUUAUCAGCUUGUUGGUGGGGUAGUGGCUUACCAAGGCUUUGACGGGUAGCCGGCCUGAGAGGGUGACCGGCCACAUUGGGCCUGGGAUACGGCCCAGACGCAUACGGGAGGCAGCGGGGGGGAAUAUGGCACAAUGGGCGGAGGCAGGAUGCAGCAACGCCGCGUGCGGGAUGACGGCCUUCGGGUUGUAAACCGCUUUCGCCUGUGACGAAGCGUGAGUGACGGUAAUGGGUAAAGAAGCACCGGCUAACUACGU
RNAcentral lists this ribosomal RNA (467 nucleotides) under uncultured bacterium. Its description in RNAcentral is "partial 16S ribosomal RNA". It matches the Rfam family "Bacterial small subunit ribosomal RNA", at positions 28 to 506 of the family's 1533-position model. The record is from RNAcentral.